CAGAGAAUAGUUUAAUAUUAUAAUGCUGGCUUUGGGGGCCAGCGGUGGGGGUUAAAAUCCCGCUUCUCUGA
Molecule: transfer RNA, 71 nt
Filed under: Champsodon cf. snyderi CBM-ZF 10876
Lineage: Eukaryota; Metazoa; Chordata; Actinopteri; Acropomatiformes; Champsodontidae
Description: tRNA-Pro
Rfam family: tRNA
About the family: Transfer RNA (tRNA) molecules are approximately 80 nucleotides in length. Their secondary structure includes four short double-helical elements and three loops (D, anti-codon, and T loops).
Source: RNAcentral